GGUAAAAUGGUCGAAUUUUAGGCGAUAAAUUGUAAAUUUAUUUAUGGUUAAACCUUUUACUA
This 62-nucleotide transfer RNA is filed under the name Amblyomma javanense. RNAcentral's name for it is "tRNA-Tyr". The record is from RNAcentral. Lineage: Eukaryota; Metazoa; Arthropoda; Arachnida; Ixodida; Ixodidae.